This is a long non-coding RNA of Brassica napus (rape), 1110 nucleotides long. RefSeq lists it as uncharacterized. The record is from RefSeq and is a predicted model, not a curated record. The transcript is spliced from 2 exons. Lineage: Eukaryota; Viridiplantae; Streptophyta; Magnoliopsida; Brassicales; Brassicaceae.
UCGUGCUCUGUGGUUUCGACACCUGUCCAGGCCAAUGAUAUUCUGCGUUCUAUUUAAAAAUUGUUUGGCUGUCGGAUUUUUAAUGAGCUUAGACAAAACUGUAUAAUUUGUAUGUAAUAGAUAAUUUUCUUUGGGCCGAUCUCUAUAGAAAUGAUGGUCCCGUCUCCACAACAUCUUCACAUUGUUAGGGUUCGUCAUUGAAGGUAUGGUUCCGUAUACCAUCAAUGGCGAUUCUGAAAUUGCGUGUGCGUUGACUUUUUCUCAGUAAUCUCAAAGUCAGUGGUAUCUCUUCAUGUCGUUUUGGUCUCUAUUCUUAACCUCGGAACUGUUACCAAUCGAAUUGAUUGAACGCCAUUAACAAAAGCGUAACUCUUCAUGCCCACUACAACCACGAUCUUGCAUUCAAUGAUUCUUAUCCUUCAUCCAGGCGGUGAUUAUCUCCUAUAAAAGGUUUGUGAGGCAGUAAUCAGAAGAGAGAUCAUGAACAAGGUGUUGAAAACGAGUGUGACUGCUUUGGUGGAGCUCAAUAUGCUCAAGAAUUUCACUGGCACUCUGCUGUUGCAGGCUCUUUAGGUGGAUUCAGUGCUCACACCAGAAACAUAGUUCUUGAUGUAUUCAUAGCUAUUUGCCAAUAUCCAGCUCAAAACAUGGAGAGCUAUCAAUGCAUCAAUGAUGGAAACCAUUAACGGAAAAUAUAUCUGUGUCUCUAUCACUACGCCAACUACUCAGGUAACUGAUCAAAUCUCUCUACUAAGUUCUUCAAUUUGAUUUGACAUAUUUAUUUAUCAUGGUUUACAUUUUCAGGCUGGGACAGUGGGAGGAGGAAUGCAGCUUCCGUCUCAGUCGGUGUAGUCAAACCUGCUAAGCGUUAAAGGAGCUACAACAAUUUGAUCUUAAUCUUGCCUUUUCAAAAAGAUUGAGCGUUUCAACAAUGUGGGAAACACAGAGCGUCAAAGUAUGUACCAUUGCCUUUUCAAGUUGGAGAAAGCAAGAGCAUGUAAAUUUUAUACAUUCCAAAACCAAAAAAGCAGCUUAAUUUGGAUUAUACAUGUAUAUCCUAUGAAAAUAUAUUUAUCGUAACACACAUAUAUUUAUUCUUGACUUUAGAUU